CAAACAACCGUUCACCUCCACCCUUUCCACCUGACCCCACCCUGAGAGCUAUUAUCAAGUUUUAAGAUAUCAAGUUUUUAGCCAGGCCAGGUCAAAAGCAGCAGCACUGCUGUGGGAAGCCAGUCCCGUCCUUGGAAGGCUCAACGAACCAUAUAAGAGGGUGGCUGUCUCAAGCCCCAGAUGGCAACUGGACUCCCACAUUCAAGUACCUCAGUCCAUAAUAUCCUAGGAUUCUAAGUAGCAAACAUAUUGCCUAUGCUUAGGAAAAUGGCUAAGAUGCAGAUAGUAGAGGAAGAUGCCUGAUGACCAAGAAUGAAAUGACUCAAAGCCCAAGGGAGGUUCCACAUCCAGCAUGGAGCCCAACUCCAGGAGUGAAGUCAUGACACUGAGAUCAAGACCUGAGCUGAGAUCAAGUUGGAAGGAUGCUCAAUUGACUGAGCUACCCAGGCACCCCUUCAUUAGUUUUAGAACAUGGAAGCUCACAGCAAUGAUCGUUAUUCACACUAAUGGUGAAAGCCAAUGACAUGUGAUGACAUUCACGUAAUUAUGCUCCAACUAACUUACCUGUCCCUCUCUCGCUCUUUGCCUGAGGAACCUGCCGGCUUCGAUCCUGCACCUUCAAUCUCAUUCUGACUGGAGAAGCCUGUACCUAAAUUAGUCAUAUGAAUGGGUCCAUGCUAUGAGCAGAAAAAUACAGCGGCAUUAGCAAAUCUA
Long non-coding RNA from Canis lupus familiaris (dog), 714 nucleotides. RefSeq lists it as uncharacterized. Lineage: Eukaryota; Metazoa; Chordata; Mammalia; Carnivora; Canidae. The record is from RefSeq and is a predicted model, not a curated record. The transcript is spliced from 2 exons.